This 301-nucleotide ribosomal RNA is filed under the name uncultured bacterium. RNAcentral describes it as "partial 16S ribosomal RNA". It matches the Rfam family "Bacterial small subunit ribosomal RNA", at positions 509 to 809 of the family's 1533-position model. The record is from RNAcentral.
CAGUCGCCACGGUAAUACGUAGGUGGCAAGCGUUGUCCGGAAUUAUUGGGCGUAAAAGGCUCGCAGGCGGUUUCUUAAGUCUGAUGUGAAAGCCCCCGGCUCAACCGGGGAGGGUCAUUGGAAACUGGGAAACUUGAGUGCAGAAGAGGAGAGUGGAAUUCCACGUGUAGCGGUGAAAUGCGUAGAGAUGUGGAGGAACACCAGUGGCGAAGGCGACUCUCUGGUCUGUAACUGACGCUGAGGAGCGAAAGCGUGGGGAGCGAACAGGAUUAGAGACCCCCGUAGUCCCUGUCUCUUAUAA